RNAcentral lists this non-coding RNA (818 nucleotides) under Eubacterium sp. CAG:274. RNAcentral's name for it is "Bacterial large subunit ribosomal RNA". It matches the Rfam family "Bacterial large subunit ribosomal RNA", at positions 1039 to 1880 of the family's 2925-position model. The record is from Rfam by way of RNAcentral. Lineage: Bacteria; Bacillati; Bacillota; Clostridia; Eubacteriales; Eubacteriaceae.
CUAAGGUCCCAAAGUGUGUGUUAAGUGGAAAAGGAUGUUAGGUUUCUAAGACAACUAGGAUGUUGGCUCAGAAGCAGCCACUCAUUUAAAGAGUGCGUAACAGCUCACUAGUCGAGAGGUCUAGCGCCGAAAAUGUCCGGGGCUAAAACACACCACCGAAGCUACGGAAUUACCUAUGGUAAUUGGUAGAGGAGCAUUCUGUAAGGAUGAAGCACAAUUGAAAGAGAGUGUGGACGAAACAGAAGAGAGAAUGCCGGAAUGAGUAGCGAGAUAUAUGUGAGAAUCAUAUAGGUCGAAUGUCUAAGGUUUCCUGGGUAAAGCUGAUCUGCUCAGGGUAAGUCGGGACCUAAGGUGAGGGCGAGAGCCGUAAUCGAUGGACAACAGGUAGAAAUUCCUGUACUACGUAUAAUCAGAACUGUGGGGACGCAGGAGGAUAGGAAAACCGGAGAAUGGAAAAAUCCGGCUAAGUACAAAGGUGUGAGUGAUAGGCAAAUCCGUCACUAUUAGCUGAAGUACGAAUGGGAGCGAAGAAAAGUAGCGAAGUUUCUGAAUCCACACUGUCAAGAAAAGCCGCUAUUGCGUUAUACGUACCCGUACCGCAAACCGACACAGGUAGACGAGGAGAAAAUCCACAGACCGACGGGAGAAGUGUUGUUAAGGAACUCGGCAAAAUGACCCCGUAACUUAGGGAUAAGGGGAGCCAACGCAAGUUGGUCACAGAAAAGAGGCUCAAGCGACUGUUUAGCAAAAACAUAGGUCUAUGCGAAACCGUAAGGUGAUGUAUAUGGGCUGACGCCUGCCCGGUGCUGGAAGGUUAA